GCGUUGGUGGUGUGAUGGUCAGCAUAGUUGCCUUCCAAGCAGUUGAUCCGGGUUCGAUUCCCGGCCAACGUA
RNAcentral lists this transfer RNA (72 nucleotides) under Manduca sexta (tobacco hornworm). Its description in RNAcentral is "tRNA-Gly". It matches the Rfam family "tRNA". Rfam says of the family: Transfer RNA (tRNA) molecules are approximately 80 nucleotides in length. Their secondary structure includes four short double-helical elements and three loops (D, anti-codon, and T loops). Further hydrogen bonds mediate the characteristic L-shaped molecular structure. tRNAs have two regions of fundamental functional importance: the anti-codon, which is responsible for specific mRNA codon recognition, and the 3' end, to which the tRNAs corresponding amino acid is attached (by aminoacyl-tRNA synthetases). tRNAs cope with the degeneracy of the genetic code in two manners: having more than one tRNA (with a specific anti-codon) for a particular amino acid; and 'wobble' base-pairing, i.e. permitting non-standard base-pairing at the 3rd anti-codon position. The record is from Rfam by way of RNAcentral. Lineage: Eukaryota; Metazoa; Arthropoda; Insecta; Lepidoptera; Sphingidae.